CAACGAUAUCACAUAUAUAGUGUAUUGUUAACAAAUUUAUGCAGACAUUGAAUAUUGAGAGUCUACACAUGUUCCUCCUCUUAAUGAAGGAACGUGCAAAAAAAUCAAUUACAAUUU
This is a small nucleolar RNA of Tetrahymena thermophila SB210, 117 nucleotides long. It matches the Rfam family "Tetrahymena snoRNA TtnuHACA16". The record is from Rfam. NCBI's taxonomy places the organism in Eukaryota, Ciliophora, Oligohymenophorea, Hymenostomatida, Tetrahymenidae.